Pogoniulus pusillus (Red-fronted tinkerbird) is the source of this 261-nucleotide long non-coding RNA. RefSeq lists it as uncharacterized. The transcript is spliced from 2 exons. NCBI's taxonomy places the organism in Eukaryota, Metazoa, Chordata, Aves, Piciformes, Lybiidae. The record is from RefSeq and is a predicted model, not a curated record.
UUCAGCCCUUCUAAUCAUUUUGGUGGUGUCCUCUGGACCUGUUCCAACAGUUUCAUGAUGGAUGGACCACCCUGAUGCCACCAAGGCUAAUCACACCCUGCUGCUGCUGGUGGAAAGUGAGGUGCCUCCCCGCUAGUAAGCUCCAGGAGUCAGGGGCCCAGCUGGUGGUGAAGGAUACAAGAAGCUCUCCCUUGAAGUCCAUGGCCUCUGCAAUUGCCUCUGCUGCCUCCUUGAUGGAGACUUCUUCUUCUUCUCCCACUG